Molecule: ribosomal RNA, 306 nt
Filed under: Triticum aestivum (bread wheat)
Lineage: Eukaryota; Viridiplantae; Streptophyta; Magnoliopsida; Poales; Poaceae
Description: partial small subunit ribosomal RNA
Source: RNAcentral
AUGGGCCGCCGCCAUGGAUGGCAGCUGCAUCCAUGGAGAGUGUCAACAUGUGGACGUGGAUGUAACACACCGGAUUCGAUGCGCCAGUUCCCGUUUCGUUGCGAUCGUGAGGAUUCGUUCGUCUACGCUUGGUUCGGCUUCAUCCAUUCGUCUUCUUCAUGGACUCGUUCUUCUUCCUUGCGGGAUUUCAGGCAAGAUGACCGCUACCCUAGAUCUCACUACUGUCAUUGCUAUGUUAGUUGCUUCGUUCUAUCGCUAUGCUGGGUUACCUAUCUUUUGCUCAUCAAGCCUCCCAAAUUGCCAUGA